RNAcentral lists this ribosomal RNA (200 nucleotides) under uncultured eukaryote. RNAcentral's name for it is "partial 18S ribosomal RNA". It matches the Rfam family "Eukaryotic small subunit ribosomal RNA", at positions 587 to 796 of the family's 1831-position model. The record is from RNAcentral.
AGCUCCAAUAGCGUAUAUUUAAGUUGCUGCAGUUAAAAAGCUCGUAGUUGGAUUUCGGGUGGGGCCUGCCGGUCCGCCGUUUGGUGUGCACUGGCUGGUUUCAACUCCUGCGGAGGACGCGCUCUGGGCUUAACGGUCUGGACGUGGAGUCCGCGUGGUUACUUUGAAAAAAUUAGAGUGUUCAAAGCGGGCUUACGCUU